AUGACUCUCUACUGUAAGUCUCUCUGGAUAAGAGAGUCUGUUAAAUGACUCUCU
Non-coding RNA from Salmo salar (Atlantic salmon), 54 nucleotides. NCBI's taxonomy places the organism in Eukaryota, Metazoa, Chordata, Actinopteri, Salmoniformes, Salmonidae. The record is from Rfam.